Acyrthosiphon pisum (pea aphid) is the source of this 4003-nucleotide long non-coding RNA. RefSeq lists it as uncharacterized. NCBI's taxonomy places the organism in Eukaryota, Metazoa, Arthropoda, Insecta, Hemiptera, Aphididae. The transcript is spliced from 3 exons. The record is from RefSeq and is a predicted model, not a curated record.
UGGCGUAUUGUAUAAAUACAAUCAUAAUUUAUAUAAUGACCAUUUCUAAUAAUCUAAUGUGUGAAACUGAAAUGUUCAGUUAGUUUAAUAAAACUAAUUUAACACUUUGGAAAGCUAUUCUUAAACGUAUUUGUUGUUUGAAUUUUGAUUUGAAAAUUAAUACAUGGAUGGUACCUACGAUUAAAUAAUAGUCAAUAUCGUCUUAGUUAUUAUGCAAAUAUGAAAUGGGUAGGUAUUAGGAAGGCAAUCAUAAAAUACAUUAUAGACUCAAAUUACUAUCUUUCCGGCUAUCCGCAAAUAUUAAUAAUAUUUAUAGUUAUUUUUGCAUCGUUGAAGGUUUGAUUAAUGUUUGUUCGUAUAUAGAUUUGUAUAGGUACGAUAUAUUAUUUUAUUCUGGUGUAUCAAUAUUCGAUAACGACCAUUGGUCAAUAUAAAAGUCAUCAUUAUUUCUGAACACAAGCAAUAAUAAUAAUAAUAAUAAUAACAACAACAACGACCCAAAAACGUAUUUUAAAACAUUUAGGUAAUAAUAUUGUCUGCAACGGCUUAAAAUAAGAUGUCGUUUAAUAUAACAGCCUAUAGGUAAUAAUAUAUGGAGAGGUUUAGGUAUACGCUACGAGAUAAUAAUAAAUAAUACUAUCCCAUCCAGUAUUGUAAGCCUCAAAACGACAUUAGACACUAUAUAUUCGCCACGGUACCCCCAGUGAAGAAGAAGUUAAAUGGGAAGGAAGAAAAAAAAAAUUAGAUGAAAAUGAAUAGAAAAAAAUGACAUUAAAUCUCGCUAAUCUCGUUGUAGGUAGUGUAGACGUGUAGUAUAAUAGUUGCCGUAUUGUCGCCGUUUAAUAAUUGCAGUACGUGCGUCGCGAAACAAUAGAGGUUAGAUCGCGUAGCAUAUGGAUUAUAAUAAUAAUAAUAAUAAUAAUAAUAAUAAUAAUAAUAAUAAUAAUAAUAAUAUACGCUGCAGAUGUUUAUUAUAGUGAACUGUGGAAAUUGUCACGUACACUUCAAAAGGCAAUACUCGGGGGCGCAUAAUGUACGUCGAUGCGUAUGCGCGUGUAGUACCUACGUAUUAUUAAUGUGCGAUAAUGUCGACUUUAUUAAUAUGGCCGUCGCCGUGGUAAAUGGUUCGAAACAUUUUGCAGCAGUCGGUAAGUAGGUAUAUUAAAAAUGAUAAUUAUUAACAACCUAUGCGUAGGUACGCGUAUAUAGCUAAUAUUAUGCAUAUUAUAAUAUGGAUGUUUAAAUUAUCAAUGGCAGGGCGAGGACAUUUUGAACCCUGUAGUCACUAUUGUGAACUUGUAUGCCAAUAACCGCGUAACUGCAGUGUUUAUUUGAUCCGAAAUAAUAAUAAUCCAAAUGAUUUUCCGGGUUCUCUUAUUCAGACAUCAAAAUUGGAUUUACCAUUUAUAAGAGGACAAAUGAAAAAUGAAUGGCCAUCCGAAAGUUCUUUUGUGAAUACACAGGAAUUGAGUUAUCUCCAAAAUUUAAAUUUCAAAAUUUCCAAAAUACGUAAGUACAACGUUCAGUUAAAUAUUUUUUCUUUGGAUAAAAUCGUUGAGGGUCUAAAACUAAACUCGUAAGUUAAUUUGUCUUAUGUCAUGCUCUUUGAAUCCAACUAUUCUACACACACACGUUGACGACAACCAGUCAUACUUGUUAUAUGACCGUUCAAAAAUGAUAUUUAUUUCCAAGAUAGGAUUGUCUGGGGGGAAAUAGUGGUAGAAAAUGUUCUGUAUUAACUGAUGGUCUCUGUCAAAUACACUCCAUUUCCUUUUCAAAGGUCAAAAGAAGACAACAUUAACAGCUGACCACAAAACAAAUACCAGAUAUUUCACAAGCAGGCGAUUUGUUUAUACAAAAGAGCUCAUUGUCGUUUUGCAUACUGAGUUCUGACAUAGCCCUCAUGGGGUGGAUUUAAAUGCAAAAGCGGCUGUCGAUGAUGCAUUCUGAUGGAAUCAUAAAAAUAAUUCGGAAGAACGCAAAAAACACAAUACAUAAUAUACCGAUAGGCAAUAGGUACAGUUGUUUUGAAUUCCAACCACCGCUAGGUUAGUAUAUAAUGCAAUAUGUAUUCAGAUAAUAAUUCACUGCCCACUGGAUUAUGACCAGAAGUUAGAAAAAAACACAUCCAAAACAAAAAUGUUACAUCAAAUAUUAUAAACUAUGAUAACAUGUUUACCCUAAAAAACGUACGAGAAUAUACUAUUGUAAUACUAUACACGUAUAUUACUUUCUUAAUAAUUAGUAAUUAAAAUUAUAUUAGUGAUAUUUUGUAAACAAUAAUGUACACCAUAAUAAAGGUAGGUACCUAUACCACCUACCUGCUUACUGUGUUAUUUGAUUUCAAUAUUUAAACAAUCUCAUUAUAAUUAUAAGUUAAGAAUAUAAUUUUAAAUAAUUAAUAAAUUAAUACAUUUCUGUUUUAAUUUUUAUAAAAUGUAUAGUAUUUUUCCUACACACUAGUCCAUAAUUGUUGAUACAUAUAAUAAGCGUAAGUGCCUAACACUGUAACAUCUGCUGUAACCAUACAGCGGGUGAUUCAUCUAACGCAAGACAAAUAUUAUUAAUUUAAAAACUAUAAACGUUUUUUUCAAAGCUUAUACCGAGCAGAAUAUUUGUUGGAGUAUUUUUAUAUAAUAUAUGAAUCGAAUAUUAGACGAGUAUUUUAGGAUUUCCACGUAUUUAAAGUUUAGAUUAGCGAAGUAGAGUGGUACAGGGGUACCCUUUAAAAUGUUAGUAGGUACACUACUUUGCUUAUCUAAAUUUUAAAUAUUUAUGUGCAUAAUAAACUACUUAUCUAAAACUUGAUUUUUAUGGAUCAAAAUACUCCGAAUAAUAUUCUGUUUCGGAAUAUGAAAUUCAAAAUAUAUGAUAAUAUCAUUUAAAAGAGAAAAAAAACUUUAAAAAUGAUGUUGAUAAAGAAAGUAAAAAGUAUCAAUUUUUCCAAAAAUGUUGUUUUGUAAUGACUUAAAAUAAUGUAAAAUAAAUAUAUUCAAACACGUUAUCGUUUGCUGAAGUAAUGAGUGUCUUACGUUAAUGGAUAACUCUGCAUAAAAAGAAAAAUCUGUGAGUUUGAUUCAUAAUUAUAGCUUUUUUCAAUCAAGUGUUGUUUAUUUGAUUCAUACAAAUUUGAUAACAUAGUAUUUAUAAAACUUAUUUUGGUAAUAAAUUUGAAAAAUGUAUUGUUCUAGAAUAGUUAAAUUAGAACACUUUUGAUGUAUCUAUCUAAUUAGAUACGGUUAAACGAUAUUUAUUUGUAUGUUAAGUAUACAGAAGUACAGAACAAUAUUCUGGGAAAUAUUAUUGUUAAUGAUUAGGUGUAUAGUAAACGACAGGUGAUGAGGAAUAUAAGUGACUUAAAAAUACUUUGAGUUAUAUAAUUAUAUCAACUUCGACAACGUUUUCAACUGAUCUAGGAUACAUAUCAUUAAGUACUUGAACCAAUCGGUUAUUUUAGAUAUAUAUAUAUAUAUCAGUAAUAACGGAAGUGAAUCGAACUGUAAACUACCGUUAUGAGUUCGUAAAGUCAUUUCUGUUGCGAAACACAUGGUUUCACUAGAAGGUUAACGAUCGAGGAAUUUAAUCAAAUGUUUAGAACUACUUCUUUGAAAGAUGUUGGAUUUAUCUCUUGGGUACAAUAGCUAUAAUAUAUCGAUAUACACAUAGAUUGGCAGAAUAACAGUUAAUUUAAAGCAAGUGUGUCAUAGAGAAAAAAAGUGGACACACUGCAAAAAUUAAUUUAAUCAAGCAAUCUAAAUUGUGUCGAGCGCAUAAAUAAUGUCUUACAAAGGUGCAGAGCCAUAUUAAUAUUACUCCUUUAUCGUUUUGCACAUACAUAAUGCACAAAAGAGUAUUCUACAUUCUUUGGAACGGGCAAUCUCAUCGCUGUUGGUAGAUUAUAAUAUGGGUUAUUUUAUAGACAAUUUUUUUUCUUAUUCGUUAUAAAUUGUCUUAGUUUUAAUAUUUCAAAUUUUAGAAGUACAAUUAAUGUAGAAGCCUUUAA